AUGUCGCGCAUCUUCUUGCUCCUGCUCCUGCACCUCCUCCUCCUCCUCAUCUUACCACCCGCCACCUCCGCCACGCCGCCGUCGCCGACGGCCGUCCUCCUCUCCUUCCUCGCCUCCCUGCCCGAGGCCUCCCAGCGGAUCCUCCUGCCCUCCUGGCAGAGCAGCACCAACACCAGCUCGGCGGCCACCCAGCACUGCGCGUUCCGUGGCGUCACGUGCACCGCCGCGGGGGCCGUCGCCGCGCUGAACCUCUCCGGGCUGGGCCUGGCGGGCGCGCUGUCCGCGUCCGCGCCGCGCCUCUGCGCGCUCCCGACGGCCCUCUCCUCGCUCGACCUCAGCAGGAACGGCUUCGCCGGCCCCGUCCCGGCCGCGCUCGCCGCGUGUUCCGGCGUGGCCACCCUCCUCCUGGCACGCAACCGCCUCACGGGGCCCGUGCCUCCGGAGCUGCUCUCCUCGCGCCAGCUCCGGAAGGUCGACCUCGGCGGCAACGCGCUCGCCGGGGAGAUCCCGGCUGUGCCUGCCGCCGGCGCCGACGCAUCCGUCCUCGAGCACCUUGACCUCAGCAACAACUCCCUCGCGGGCGCCAUCCCGCCGGAGCUGCUGGCUUCUCUCCCGGGGAUCCGGGUGCUGAACCUGAGCACCAACGGCCUCACCGGGCCGUUGCCCGAGUUCCCGGCCCGUUGCCGGCUCACCUACCUCGCCGUCGACAGCAACGGCGGCAUCACCGGUGAGCUCCCCGGAAGCCUCGCCAACUGCGGCAACCUCACCGACAUAAUCCUAUCCUACAACAAGAUCGGCGGCACGGUGCCGGAUUUCUUCGCGUCCCUGCCAAGGCUGCAGCAGCUGUUCCUCGACGACAACAGCUUCGUCGGGGAGCUGCCGGCGAGCAUCGGCGAGCUCGCCGACCUGGAAAGCCUGGCGGUCACCAAAAACGGGAUGACCGGACCUGUUCCGGAGGCAAUCGGGAGAUGCAAGUCCUUGACGAUGCUGUAUCUGAAGGGCAACUGGUUCAACGGCUCGAUCCCGCGGUUCGUCGGUAACCUGAGCCGGCUACAGAGGUUCUCCAUGGCCGACAACGGCAUGGCCGGAACAAUCCCGCGAGAAAUCGGGAAGUGCCGGGAGCUGGUGGAGCUCCAGCUGCAGAACAACAGCCUCUCCGGGACGAUCCCGCCGGAUUUCAGCGAGCUCGGCCGUCUGCGGAAGCUGGCCCUGUUCAAGAACACGCUCCAUGGGACGGUGCCUCCGGCGCUGUGGCAAAUGCCGGACAUGGAGGAGCUGCAGCUCUACAACAACAGCCUGAGCGGAGAGGUUCCUGCCGGGAUCACGCAGUCGAGGAAGCUCAGAGAGCUCAUCCUGGCGUUCAACAACUUCACCGGCGAGGUCCCGGGAGCGCUGGGGCUGAACACGACCCAUGGGCUCGUUCGUGUCGACCUGACCGGCAACCGCUUCCGCGGCGCGAUCCCGGCCGGUCUCUGCACCGGCGGCCGGCUCGCCGUGCUUGUCGUCGGACACAACCAGUUCAGUGGGGGCAUUCCCGGGGAGAUAGCGAAAUGUCAGUCUCUCUGGAGGGUCAGAUUCAACGACAACAAGUUGAGUGGGAGCUUGCAAGAUUUGGGCACGAACACCGGGUGGUCAUUUGUGGACCUGAGUGGCAACCGGUUUGAUGGGAGGAUACCAAGUGUGCUCGGCUCAUGGCGCAACCUCACCAUGCUUGAUCUGUCCGGCAACAACUUCGCCGGCCUGAUACCGCACGAGCUCGGUGUGAAAGAUAUGAAGCGUUCCUACUCCAUCGGGGGAGCCGCGUGGUAA
RNAcentral lists this ribosomal RNA (1809 nucleotides) under Triticum aestivum (bread wheat). RNAcentral's name for it is "partial small subunit ribosomal RNA". The record is from RNAcentral. Lineage: Eukaryota; Viridiplantae; Streptophyta; Magnoliopsida; Poales; Poaceae.